RNAcentral lists this ribosomal RNA (710 nucleotides) under uncultured anaerobic ammonium-oxidizing bacterium. Its description in RNAcentral is "bacterial SSU rRNA". It matches the Rfam family "Bacterial small subunit ribosomal RNA", at positions 358 to 1051 of the family's 1533-position model. The record is from RNAcentral.
AGAAUCUUUCGCAAUGCCCGAAAGGGUGACGAAGCGACGCCGCGUGUGGGAAGAAGGCCUUCGGGUUGUAAACCACUGUCGGGAGUUAGGAAAUGUAAGGGUGUUAAUAGUAUCCUUACUUGACUAAGGCUCCGGAGGAAGCCACGGCUAACUCUGUGCCAGUAGCCGCGGUAAUACAGAGGCGGCAAGCGUUGUUCGGAAUUAUUGGGCGUAAAGAGCACGUAGGCGGCCUUGUAAGUCAGUUGUGAAAGCCUUCUGCUUAACGGAAGAACAGCAGCUGAUACUGCAAGGCUAGAGUGCGGAAGGGGAGAGUGGAACUUCUGGUGGAGCGGUGAAAUGCGUAGAUAUCAGAAGGAACACCGGCGGCGAAGGCGACUCUCUGGUCCGUAACUGACGCUGAGUGUGCGAAAGCUAGGGGAGCAAACGGGAUUAGAUACCCCGGUAGUCCUAGCCGUAAACGAUGAGCACUAAGUAGAGGGGUUUUGAUUAUCUCUCUGCCGGAGCUAACGCAUUAAGUGCCCCGCCUGGGGAGUACGGCCGCAAGGCUAAAACUCAAAAGAAUUGACGGGGGCUCGCACAAGCGGUGGAGCAUGUGGCUUAAUUCGAUGCAACGCGGAGAACCUUACCGGGGUUUGACAUGGUAGAAGUAGGAGCCUGAAAGGGUGACGAACGGUAUCCAGUCCGUGACUAUCACAGGUGUUGCAUGGCUG